CUUGCUAAUGCAUUUUUCAGUGUGCCCCUGGACACAUCCUGCCAAUACCUCUUUGCUUUUACUCAUGAAGGUCAGCAAUAUACAUGGACUGUUAUGCCUCAGGGGGCUCAGAAUUCGCCCACUCAGUUUGCCCGUGCCAUGUCAAUGGUUCUGGAACCCUGGCAAAAGACUCACACAGAUGUAGUCCUGCUUCAAUAUGUUGAUGACUUACUUCCCUGUGCUGCUGAUCUCCAAACUGCUGAACGUGUUUCUGAAGACCUACUUUGCUUCUUAGCUGAAAAAGGCUGUAAGGCCAAGCUUCAAUGGUGCCGGCCCUCAGUGGUCUUCUUGGGACAUUGCCUUUCCCAUGGCACCCGCCACCUUACCAAGGACAGGAUUUUAGCCAUUUUGAAUUUACCAGUUCCUUCUGCUCAUCAAUCUCUCCAUGCCUUCUUAGGCCUCAUCACAUUUUGCAGAUCCUGGAUUCCUGAAGCUUCUCAACUGAUGCAACCACUAUAUGAUGCCCUGAAACGCGAGCCUUUCUCACUUUCACCAAAUGCCAUUGCCUGUUUCACUGAUCUAAAGAAGGCUAUCGCAUCAGCACUAGCCUUGGGCCUACCGAACUACCAACUGCCUUUCAAGUUGUUCGUGUCUGAGAAACUGGGCCACGCCUCCGGAGUACUUACUCAACAACAUGGCUCCAGACAAAGACCCAUAGGCUACUUCUCUUGCAUGCUUGAUCCUGCUGCCAGAGGCAGCCCCUCCUGCCUGAGGGCAGUGUUUGCAGCUAGUGCCCUGCUGGAUAAAACUAAUGAUUUCAUUCUCUGCCAUUCAUUGACCGUUUUGGCACCACAUGAUAUUUCUGCAAUACUUCAACAAACCCAACCAAGGCAUCUCUCCUCUCAGCGUCAUCUACGUUACUUGCUACUCACUGAACCCAGCCACUCUUCUGCCAUUUCCCAAGGGGGGAGUGGCACAGUACUGGUACAGCCUGGAUAUCAACCCAGAUGCCCGGAUGGAAGUGGCACAGUACUGGUACAGCCUGGAUAUCAACCCAGAUGCCCGGAUGGAAUUCCAACAACCUACACUUGCAGCUCCACAUGAUGUACAACCUGAGAACUUGUUACACUGUACCCUGUGGUUCGAAGACAACCCAGGCCCUGAUGUGGAUUAUGAAGAAGAACUAUUUCAACUUGUGUAAGUUCACAUCACAUUGACAGACUUGUUAUGGGACACCAGAGGCAACAUGGUCCUACUGGUGCACCUCCCAACAGAAGUAUCCCACCUCUACCGUCACUGGGAGACAGCUGUUCCACACAUAUCCUUCACUAAAUCCCCUGAUUUCUCAUGGAAAGAUCUAGGCCCAAUGGCCAGGUCCUGGAGUGCAACAACCCAAGAACAACUUGAAUCAAUGGGAGUAACUAAGAAGAUUAUCAACUACAGUACAGUUGGAUAUCCUCGAUACCACACAGAAAUUUGUGAAGAUCUCCCUUCCAUGGAAUAAGACUCAGAAGCCCCUCAUGAUUGCUUUGAACAGAUGGAGAUGGAAACCACCCAUUUACCAACUGUACAUGAGACUGCUCUACCUAAUCCAGAUCGGAUACUGUUUGUGGAUGGUUCCAGACUUGCUGAUGAACAAGGGCAAUAUCACACUGGAUAUGCAUUUACCACAGAAUGUCAAAUACUACAGGCAGCUGCACUUCUGCCAACCAAAUCAGCUCAAGAAGCCGAACUAACAGCCCUCACAGUGGCCUGCAAGCCAUCUGAAGGUCUACGUGUCAACAUUUAUACAGACUCAAGAUAUGCCCUGGAAGUGGCACACGAUUUUGGCCUGAUUUGUAAAACCAGAGGAUUUCUCACAGCCACCGGCACUACGGUGAAACAUGGCACAGCCAUUGAAGAAUUAAUGGAUGCCCUAAUACUUCCAGCAGAAGUGUCAGUGCUCAAAGUGAAAGCCCAUGGGAGGCUGAAUUCAGAAGAAGCACAAGGCGACCACUUGGCUGAUCAAGUCUCCAAGGAAGCAGCACGACAAGGGUGUAAAGUGGACAGAAGAGUGGCCAUUGAAACAACACCCGUUUACACCAUGCAAACAUUGCCUACAGACCUCAGACUCUUAAAGGAGCAACAAGCUGCUGCGACCCCCCCAAGAGAAACAAAGUUGGAAAAACAGAGGGGCUGUUCUCCGAGAUGAUGUCUAUACCAUCAAUCUUAAGUUCUGUCUACCCAAGAAUAUGCAUCCAGCUGUUGUCCAAUGGGCCCAUGGACCUGCCCAUUUGUCAAAACAUCUGAUGAACUCUCUGAUUGCUAAAUAUUUUGAAGCACCAGGUAUUACUACUCUAACACAGAAUUAUUGUAGAUCUUGUGCAAUUUGUGCUAAAUGUAACCCUGGGAAGAUUGUUAAAACUGCACCCAACCACUUGGCCAAACCACAGUACCCUUUCCAGAGGAUACAGAUUGACCACAUCCAGAUGCCAAAGAGUGGAUGCUAUGAAUACGCACUAGUCAUUGUGGAUAUGUUCUCAGGGUGGCCAGAAGUUUUCCCAGUGGCCAAUCUUACCGCAAGGACUACAGCUAAACAUCUUCUGACGGAAAUUGUCUGCCGGUAUGGAGUUCCAGAAGUGAUUGAAAGUGACCAAGGAACUUCCUUUACCGUCUCAUUGACAUGGGAAGUCUGGGCAACACUGGGGGUGACCCUUGCCUUCCACACGCCAUAUCACCCACAGAGUAGCGGUAAGGUAGAACGCAUGAAUGGCACGUUGAAAGCCAGAAUGCUUAAAUUGUUCCAGGAGCCCAAUAUGCCCUGGCCCAAGAGUCUUCCCCUAGCACUGUUCAGCGUACGAUAUACCCCUAGAGGGAAGUUCAGCUUAUCACCCUACAAGAUCUUGUUCGGUACAGCACCAAGGUUAGGUUGUUAUUUCCCCCAGCUUCAGUCAGAUGCUAUGGUAGAUUAUGUAACUGAUCUCUCUCAUGCCUUGACCAAACCCCAUGCCCAAGUGUUUUCUUCUAUUCCAGAUCCUGAGUCGAAUACAGGUACACACAAGUUGCUUCCAGGUGACUGGGUUAUGGUCAAGAAAUUCCUCAGGAAGCACACUCUUGAGCCAAGAUUUGAUGGUCCUUACCAAGUGCUGCUAAUCACGGCUACCUCAGUAAAGCUGGCCGGAAAAAGUUCCUGGAUACACGCCUCGCAUUGCAAGAAAGUGCCUGCUGCAGAAGAAGCUGUCCCUACUGAGCCAUGAAUUCAUUGUGUUUCUUAUGUUUUCUUUUGCUGCUAAACUUUAC
Pelobates cultripes (western spadefoot toad) is the source of this 3258-nucleotide non-coding RNA. Lineage: Eukaryota; Metazoa; Chordata; Amphibia; Anura; Pelobatidae. The record is from the annotation of a GenBank genome assembly.